GAUGAACGCUGGCGGCGUGCUUAACACAUGCAAGUCGAGCGAGUGAGUUCUUCGGAACGAUCUAGCGGCGGACGGGUGAGUAACACGUGGGCAACCUGCCUCAUAGAGGGGAAUAGCCUCCCGAAAGGGAGAUUAAUACCGCAUAAAAUUAUCGAGUGGCAUCACAUGAUAAUCAAAGGAGUAAUCCGCUAUGAGAUGGGCCCGCGGCGCAUUAGCUAGUUGGUGAGGUAACGGCUCACCAAGGGGACGAUGCGUAGCCGACCUGAGAGGGUGAUCGGCCACAUUGGGACUGAGACACGGCCCAGACUCCUACGUGAGGCAGCAGUGGGGAAUAUUGCACAAUGGGGGAAACCCUGAUGCAGCAACGCCGCGUGAGUGAUGAAGGUCUUCGGAUUGUAAAGCUCUGUCUUUGGGGACGAUAAUGACGGUACCCAAGGAGGAAGCCACGGCUAACUACGUGCCAGCCGCCGCCGUAA
This 476-nucleotide ribosomal RNA is filed under the name uncultured bacterium. RNAcentral's name for it is "partial 16S ribosomal RNA". It matches the Rfam family "Bacterial small subunit ribosomal RNA", at positions 28 to 523 of the family's 1533-position model. The record is from RNAcentral.